CCAUGAAUCUGGUCUUGGGACACUGUCAGGUGGGCAGUUUGACUGGGGCGGUCGCCUCCCAAAAGGUAACGGAGGCGCUCAAAGGUUCUCUCAGUACGGUCGGAAAGCGUACGUAGAGUGUAAAGGCAAAAGAGAGCUUGAUUGCAAGACAUACAGGUCGAGCAAGGAUGAAAAUCGGACUUAGUGAUCCGGUGGUUCUGCGUGGAAGGGCCAUCGCUCAACGGAUAAAAGCUACCC
This 237-nucleotide ribosomal RNA is filed under the name Clostridioides difficile. Its description in RNAcentral is "partial 23S ribosomal RNA". It matches the Rfam family "Bacterial large subunit ribosomal RNA", at positions 2233 to 2468 of the family's 2925-position model. Lineage: Bacteria; Bacillati; Bacillota; Clostridia; Peptostreptococcales; Peptostreptococcaceae. The record is from RNAcentral.